CCUACGAGAGGCAGCAGUGGGGAAUAUUGCACAAUGGGCGCAAGCCUGAUGCAGCAACGCCGCGUGAGGGACGAAGGCCUUCGGGUUGUAAACCUCUUUUAGUAGGGAAGAAGCGAAAGUGACGGUACCUGCAGAAAAAGCACCGGCUAACUACGUGCCAGCAGCCGCGGUAAUACGUAGGGUGCAAGCGUUGUCCGGAAUUAUUGGGCGUAAAGAGCUCGUAGGCGGUUUGUCGCGUCUGCUGUGAAAACCCGAGGCUCAACCUCGGGCCUGCAGUGGGUACGGGCAGACUAGAGUGCGGUAGGGGAGAUUGGAAUUCCUGGUGUAGCGGUGGAAUGCGCAGAUAUCAGGAGGAACACCGAUGGCGAAGGCAGAUCUCUGGGCCGUAACUGACGCUGAGGAGCGAAAGCAUGGGGAGCGAACAGGAUUAGAUACCCUGGUAGUCCAUGCCGUAAACGUUGGGAACUAGAUGUGGGGGCCAUUCCACGGCUUCCGUGUCGCAGCUAACGCAUUAAGUUCCCCGCCUGGGGAGUACGGCCGCAAGGCUAAAACUUAAGGAAUUGACGG
RNAcentral lists this ribosomal RNA (567 nucleotides) under uncultured bacterium. Its description in RNAcentral is "bacterial SSU rRNA". It matches the Rfam family "Bacterial small subunit ribosomal RNA", at positions 338 to 916 of the family's 1533-position model. The record is from RNAcentral.